UAUGACGGAUUAAUAAGUCAGUGGUGAAAACCUGCAGCUUAACUGUAGAACUGCCAUUGAUACUGUUAGUCUUGAGUACGGUCAAGGUAGGCGGAAUGUGUAAUGUAGCGGUGAAAUGCUUAUAUAUUACACAGAAACACCCGAUUGCGAAGGCAGCUUACUGGGCCAUUACUGACGCUGAUGCACGAAAGCGUGGGGAGCGUACAGGAUUAGAUACCCUGGUAGUCCACGCCGUAAACGAUGAUCACUCGCUGUUAGCGAUACACAGUUAGCGGCUAAGCAAAAGCAUUAAGUGAUCCACCUGGGGAGUACGGCCGCAAGGCUGAAACUCAAAGGAAUUGACGGGGGCCCGCACAAGCGGAGGAACAUGUGGUUUAAUUCGAUGAUACGCGAGGAACCUUACCUGGGCUUAAAUGUAGAGUGCAUGAGGUAGAAAUACUUCUUUCCUUCGGGACUCUUUGCAAGGUGCUGCAUGGUUGUCGUCAGCUCGUGCCGUGAGGUGUCGGGUUAAGUCCCAUAACGAGCGCAACCCUUAUCGUUAGUUGCCAGCGGGUAAUGCCGGGAACUCUAACGAAACUGCCGGUGUAAACCGUGAGGAAGGUGGGGAUGACGUCAAAUCAGCACGGCCCUUAUGUCCAGGGCUACACACGUGUUACAAUGGCCGGUACAGAGGGCAGCUACCUGGAGACAGGAUGCGAAUCUCCAAAGCCGGUCUCAGUUCGGAUCGGAGUCUGCAACUCGACUCCGUGAAGCUGGAUUCGCUAGUAAUCGCGCAUCAGCCAUGGCGCGGUGAAUACGUUCCCGGGCCUUGUACACACCGCCCGUCAAGCCAUGGAAGUUGGGGGUACCUGAAGUCCGUAACCGAAAGGAGCGGCCUAGGGUAAAACUAGUGACUGGGGCUAAGUCGUAACAAGGUAACC
This 920-nucleotide ribosomal RNA is filed under the name uncultured Verrucomicrobiota bacterium. RNAcentral's name for it is "bacterial SSU rRNA". It matches the Rfam family "Bacterial small subunit ribosomal RNA", at positions 571 to 1501 of the family's 1533-position model. Lineage: Bacteria; Pseudomonadati; Verrucomicrobiota. The record is from RNAcentral.